This 341-nucleotide ribosomal RNA is filed under the name Vibrio sp. HI00D65. RNAcentral describes it as "bacterial SSU rRNA". It matches the Rfam family "Bacterial small subunit ribosomal RNA", at positions 309 to 642 of the family's 1533-position model. Lineage: Bacteria; Pseudomonadati; Pseudomonadota; Gammaproteobacteria; Vibrionales; Vibrionaceae. The record is from RNAcentral.
CACACUGGAACUGAGACACGGUCCAGACUCCUACGGGAGGCAGCAGUGGGGAAUAUUGCACAAUGGGCGAAAGCCUGAUGCAGCCAUGCCGCGUGUAUGAAGAAGGCCUUCGGGUUGUAAAGUACUUUCAGUUGUGAGGAAGGGGGUGUCGUUAAUAGCGGCAUCUCUUGACGUUAGCAACAGAAGAAGCACCGGCUAACUCCGUGCCAGCAGCCGCGGUAAUACGGAGGGUGCGAGCGUUAAUCGGAAUUACUGGGCGUAAAGCGCAUGCAGGUGGUUCAUUAAGUCAGAUGUGAAAGCCCGGGGCUCAACCUCGGAACUGCAUUUGAAACUGAUGAACU